Molecule: ribosomal RNA, 497 nt
Filed under: uncultured bacterium
Lineage: Bacteria
Description: partial 16S ribosomal RNA
Rfam family: Bacterial small subunit ribosomal RNA
Source: RNAcentral
GAUGAACGCUGGCGGCGUGCCUAAUACAUGCAAGUCGAGCGAACACACGAGGAGCUUUCUCCUCUGACGUUAGCGUCGGACGGGUUAGUAACACGUUUAUAACCUACCUAUAAGACUUGGAUAACUUCGGGAAACCGCAGCUAAUACCGGAUAAUAUAUUGAACCGCAUGGUUCAAUCGUGAAUUUCGGUUUUGCCGUCACUUUUAGUUGGUUCCGCGGCGCAUUAUGUAGUUGGUAAGGUAACGGCUGACCAAGGCAACGAUGCGUAGCCGGGCUGAGAGGGUGAUCGCGGACACUGGAGCUGAGACACGGUCCAGACUACUACGGGGGGCAGCAGUAGGGAAGAUUGGCCAAUGGAAGAAAGACUGAUGGAGCAACGCCGCGUGGGAGAAGAAAGCAUUCGGGUAGUAAAACGAUGUUUUUAGGAAAGAACAAAAGUAAGCAGAAAUUACCACGGCUUGACGGUACAUAAACAGAAAGCCGAGGGUAACUACAUG